Molecule: ribosomal RNA, 2902 nt
Filed under: Klebsiella pneumoniae subsp. pneumoniae
Lineage: Bacteria; Pseudomonadati; Pseudomonadota; Gammaproteobacteria; Enterobacterales; Enterobacteriaceae
Description: 23S ribosomal RNA
Rfam family: Bacterial large subunit ribosomal RNA
Source: RNAcentral
GGUUAAGCGACUAAGCGUACACGGUGGAUGCCCUGGCAGUCAGAGGCGAUGAAGGACGUGCUAAUCUGCGAAAAGCGUCGGUAAGGUGAUAUGAACCGUUAUAACCGGCGAUGUCCGAAUGGGGAAACCCAGUGCAAUUCGUUGCACUAUCGUUAACUGAAUACAUAGGUUAACGAGGCGAACCGGGGGAACUGAAACAUCUAAGUACCCCGAGGAAAAGAAAUCAACCGAGAUUCCCCCAGUAGCGGCGAGCGAACGGGGAGCAGCCCAGAGUCUGAAUCAGCUUGUGUGUUAGUGGAACGGUCUGGAAAGUCCGACGGUACAGGGUGAUAGUCCCGUACACCAAAAUGCACAGGCUGUGAACUCGAAGAGUAGGGCGGGACACGUGGUAUCCUGUCUGAAUAUGGGGGGACCAUCCUCCAAGGCUAAAUACUCCUGACUGACCGAUAGUGAACCAGUACCGUGAGGGAAAGGCGAAAAGAACCCCGGCGAGGGGAGUGAAAAAGAACCUGAAACCGUGUACGUACAAGCAGUGGGAGCACCUUCGGGUGUGACUGCGUACCUUUUGUAUAAUGGGUCAGCGACUUAUAUUCUGUAGCAAGGUUAACCAUAUAGGGGAGCCGCAGGGAAACCGAGUCUUAACUGGGCGUUAAGUUGCAGGGUAUAGACCCGAAACCCGGUGAUCUAGCCAUGGGCAGGUUGAAGGUUGGGUAACACUAACUGGAGGACCGAACCGACUAAUGUUGAAAAAUUAGCGGAUGACUUGUGGCUGGGGGUGAAAGGCCAAUCAAACCGGGAGAUAGCUGGUUCUCCCCGAAAGCUAUUUAGGUAGCGCCUCGUGAAUUCAUCUUCGGGGGUAGAGCACUGUUUCGGCUAGGGGGUCAUCCCGACUUACCAACCCGAUGCAAACUACGAAUACCGAAGAAUGUUAUCACGGGAGACACACGGCGGGUGCUAACGUCCGUCGUGAAGAGGGAAACAACCCAGACCGCCAGCUAAGGUCCCAAAGUCAUGGUUAAGUGGGAAACGAUGUGGGAAGGCACAGACAGCCAGGAUGUUGGCUUAGAAGCAGCCAUCAUUUAAAGAAAGCGUAAUAGCUCACUGGUCGAGUCGGCCUGCGCGGAAGAUGUAACGGGGCUAAACCAUGCACCGAAGCUGCGGCAGCGACACUAUGUGUUGUUGGGUAGGGGAGCGUUCUGUAAGCCUGCGAAGGUGACCUGUGAGGGUUGCUGGAGGUAUCAGAAGUGCGAAUGCUGACAUAAGUAACGAUAAAGCGGGUGAAAAGCCCGCUCGCCGGAAGACCAAGGGUUCCUGUCCAACGUUAAUCGGGGCAGGGUGAGUCGACCCCUAAGGCGAGGCCGAAAGGCGUAGUCGAUGGGAAACAGGUUAAUAUUCCUGUACUUGGUGUUACUGCGAAGGGGGGACGGAGAAGGCUAUGUUAGCCGGGCGACGGUUGUCCCGGUUUAAGCAUGUAGGCUGGUUAUCCAGGCAAAUCCGGAUAAUCAAGGCUGAGGUGUGAUGACGAGGCACUACGGUGCUGAAGUAACAAAUGCCCUGCUUCCAGGAAAAGCCUCUAAGCAUCAGGUAACAUCAAAUCGUACCCCAAACCGACACAGGUGGUCAGGUAGAGAAUACCAAGGCGCUUGAGAGAACUCGGGUGAAGGAACUAGGCAAAAUGGUGCCGUAACUUCGGGAGAAGGCACGCUGGUGUGUAGGUGAAGCCCCUGCGGGUGGAGCUGAGACCAGUCGAAGAUACCAGCUGGCUGCAACUGUUUAUUAAAAACACAGCACUGUGCAAACACGAAAGUGGACGUAUACGGUGUGACGCCUGCCCGGUGCCGGAAGGUUAAUUGAUGGGGUUAUCCGUAAGGAGAAGCUCUUGAUCGAAGCCCCGGUAAACGGCGGCCGUAACUAUAACGGUCCUAAGGUAGCGAAAUUCCUUGUCGGGUAAGUUCCGACCUGCACGAAUGGCGUAAUGAUGGCCAGGCUGUCUCCACCCGAGACUCAGUGAAAUUGAACUCGCUGUGAAGAUGCAGUGUACCCGCGGCAAGACGGAAAGACCCCGUGAACCUUUACUAUAGCUUGACACUGAACAUUGAGCCUUGAUGUGUAGGAUAGGUGGGAGGCUUUGAAGCGUGGACGCCAGUCUGCGUGGAGCCAACCUUGAAAUACCACCCUUUAAUGUUUGAUGUUCUAACGUUGGCCCCUGACCGGGGUUGCGGACAGUGUCUGGUGGGUAGUUUGACUGGGGCGGUCUCCUCCCAAAGCGUAACGGAGGAGCACGAAGGUUAGCUAAUCCUGGUCGGACAUCAGGAGGUUAGUGCAAUGGCAUAAGCUAGCUUGACUGCGAGCGUGACGGCGCGAGCAGGUGCGAAAGCAGGUCAUAGUGAUCCGGUGGUUCUGAAUGGAAGGGCCAUCGCUCAACGGAUAAAAGGUACUCCGGGGAUAACAGGCUGAUACCGCCCAAGAGUUCAUAUCGACGGCGGUGUUUGGCACCUCGAUGUCGGCUCAUCACAUCCUGGGGCUGAAGUAGGUCCCAAGGGUAUGGCUGUUCGCCAUUUAAAGUGGUACGCGAGCUGGGUUUAGAACGUCGUGAGACAGUUCGGUCCCUAUCUGCCGUGGGCGCUGGAGAAUUGAGGGGGGCUGCUCCUAGUACGAGAGGACCGGAGUGGACGCAUCACUGGUGUUCGGGUUGUCAUGCCAAUGGCACUGCCCGGUAGCUAAAUGCGGAAGAGAUAAGUGCUGAAAGCAUCUAAGCACGAAACUUGCCCCGAGAUGAGUUCUCCCUGAGACUUUAAGUCUCCUGAAGGAACGUUGAAGACGACGACGUUGAUAGGCCGGGUGUGUAAGCGCAGCGAUGCGUUGAGCUAACCGGUACUAAUGAACCGUGAGGCUUAACCUU